Non-coding RNA from Hemicordylus capensis (graceful crag lizard), 82 nucleotides. NCBI's taxonomy places the organism in Eukaryota, Metazoa, Chordata, Lepidosauria, Squamata, Cordylidae. The record is from the annotation of a RefSeq genome assembly.
GGUAGUGUAGCUGAGCGGUUGAAGGCGCUGGAUUAAGGCUCCAGUCUCUUCGGGGGAAUGGGUUCGAAUCCCAUGGCUGCCA